Molecule: ribosomal RNA, 392 nt
Filed under: uncultured Gammaproteobacteria bacterium
Lineage: Bacteria; Pseudomonadati; Pseudomonadota; Gammaproteobacteria
Description: bacterial SSU rRNA
Rfam family: Bacterial small subunit ribosomal RNA
Source: RNAcentral
AAUGGGCGAAAGCCUGAUCCAGCAAUGCAGCGUGUGUGAAGAAGGCCUGAGGGUUGUAAAGCACUUUCAGUAGGGAAGAUAAUGACGGUACCUACAGAAGAAGCACCGGUUAACUCCGUGCCAGCAGCCGCGGUAAUACGGAGGGUGCAAGCGUUAAUCGGAAUUACUGGGCGUAAAGCGUACGUAGGAUGUGAUGCAAGUCGGAUGUGAAAUCCCCGGGCUUAACCUGGGAACUGCAUUCGAAACUACAUUACUAGAGUGUAGUAGAGGUAAGCGGAAUUUCGGGUGUAGCGGUGAAAUGCGUAGAUAUCCGAAAGAACAUCAGUGGCGAAGGCGGCUUACUGGACUAACACUGACUCUGAGGUACGAAAGCGUGGGGAGCAAACAGGAUU